RNAcentral lists this transfer RNA (52 nucleotides) under Urocyon cinereoargenteus (gray fox). RNAcentral describes it as "partial tRNA-Pro". The record is from RNAcentral. Lineage: Eukaryota; Metazoa; Chordata; Mammalia; Carnivora; Canidae.
CAGGGAAUAGUUUAAGAAGAAUUUCAGCUUUGGGUGCUGAUGGUGGAGCUGG